Molecule: long non-coding RNA, 844 nt
Filed under: Brachypodium distachyon (stiff brome)
Lineage: Eukaryota; Viridiplantae; Streptophyta; Magnoliopsida; Poales; Poaceae
Description: long non-coding RNA (BDIS_LNC002701)
Source: RNAcentral
UAUCAUCUUCCUCCUGGCUUCGAACCAAGCUCGCCUCCCUGGGUUCAGGAGGCUCAAGUCGGCCGUCAUGAUCCUUGUCUCCUCGGCGAGCAUAGCGGCCUCGGCUUCCUUGAUCCUUGCCGCCGCAUUGGUGGCCUCCUCGAUGGCGAGCUUCCUUUUUUGAAGCUCGAGGUAACUGUUCAUUUGUUUCUUUUUUUUUGUUGGAACUUCUCCCUCUUCGCCUCCUUGUUAGCCAAAAUCUUCUUGACCGUCUCUUCGAAUGCGAGGUUGGAGGUCUCACGCUUUGCAUCGCCCUUGGAGUUUGUCCUUUCCUUCGUCCGGCACGUGAUGCUACCUCGUUGUGGCCAGAGGCCUCAAGGUCGAUGGUGCUCGCCUCCCGCUACUUCCCAUUGAAACCGGCCUUCUUGAUGGAGACAUAGAGCUCUUGCCACUUGGGGGCCUCCUUGAGGAUCCGCCAACAAUGAGGCAUGGUAAAUGGCUUCCCACGAAUCUCCAUGAAAUACUCUAAAGCUUGGAACGCCUACCAACAAUGGACCAUUCAUCACGAGGAAAACACACAUGGCUUCAUGAGGACCACAACAACAGUAUCACUUACCAAGUCUUGGACGCCGACGCCUCUAACAGGCUUGUCCCUCACGUGAUCGUUGGUGCCCGCAAACUUGUUCCAUUCACACCCUUCGGUUCUAUUUACUGACUUUUUCCAUUCACACCCUUCGGUUCUGUUUAAAUCCACUAGUCCAGAAAACAGUAAGAAGGAGUGUAGCGUGCAUUGAUUCGCAACAAACUUAAGGGCCAAAAUGGAAACCUGAUGAAAUCCAGGCCCUUGCUUUCCCAUCCAACCGUU